UUAUACCUUAAACAUUUCACUUAUAUUUACUUUAAAAUUAGUGAAAUUUCAGCCAUUAAAUUACUUAGAAAAAAAAUAAUUGCGAAAUAAAUCAUAAAAAGACCAACAUAAUUUAAUUUCUUUAUUCAACUUUUAAGGCUUCUUCACACAUUCACAAGCCACUAAUAUUGUGCACUUAUCGGAUCUUCUGGAUACAUUUACAAAUCCCUGUUUCGGGCGGUUUUUCUGUUUCUCCUAAAAAUGAAAAUAUGCAGCUUGGAACCAAAGGAAGGAUACACACAAGACCUCGACAUUCGUCAUUACUUCGGCAAACAAUCUCAGCUAAUAAGAAUUAAGGAACAUUAUCAAAAUGGGGUGAAACAAUAUUGAAUAAAAGAAUAUAAAGCUAAAUUAUUAUGUAUCUUUUCUUUUUGACAAAAAAAAUUAGGUAUCUUGGUUUUUGUUGUAUGCCGGUUUCUUUAGACAAAAUUCAUUUAAAAUUUAAUUUUUUUUUGUCAUGUAGUUUACUGGUUAGAAAUUUCACUUUUAAGACGAAUAAGUGGACUGAUCGGGGUUCGAAUCCCGACCCCAAUAUAUAUAAUGCAUUAUCUUUGUCAACUGAGCUAAGGUCACGGGAUAAAUUUAAAUUUAUUUUAAUAAAAAGUAUGGUUAAAUAAGUUUUUUAUGCUUAUAAAUAUCGCAAAUUUUGUUUUUAAUUUAUAUAAAAAAUUUCAGCAAAUUUUGAUUUCCUAAAUAUUUUUUUGUCAUAAUUUUUUAUUUCUAUUUUUAAAUCAACUCAUGUAUACUUUCGUAUUUCUGAAUGAGUGUUUGUUUUCAUGUUUACAAUAAUAUAAAAAUUUCUCCCACAAAAAUUUAGAAUUUUUUAAUAUAUAAUAUGAAUUAAAUAUUAUUAUUGUUUUAAGCGGCAAAAACUUAAAAUUCAUAUUUAGCUCAUUCCUUGUUAUAAAAAACUAAAUUUUUGUAAGAGUAGUUUAUAUAAUGUACUAAUCAGCACAGAAAACAAAUCAAGUAAUAUAUAUGAGUUGGCUCAAAAGAAGAGACUGAAAAUCAUAGGAAAAUAAUUGAGAAUCAAAACUUGCUGAAUUAUUUAUGGAUCAAAACUUGAGAUAAAGACAAAAAAUUUGCUUAACUCUAUAAAUUAAUAUAAAAUAUGGCAUGAUAUUGAAUUUUAUAUAAAAAUACCACAACCAAAUUAAACUUGAGGUACUAGUGUUGACCAAAUUUAAAAGCGUUAAUAAAAAUUACUUACUGCUAUUUGUUGUAGAAAUAAAUAUGGAAAAAAAUAAAAUCAUAGCAUAAAUAAACAUAUAAACUUUAACCAUAUUUAUUCUUUUAUGAAUAUAGAAAUAUAGAAAUUAUUUGAUUGCUCUAUAGUGUGAAAAAAA
This 1385-nucleotide long non-coding RNA is filed under the name Trifolium pratense (red clover). Its description in RNAcentral is "long non-coding RNA (TPRA_LNC011443)". Lineage: Eukaryota; Viridiplantae; Streptophyta; Magnoliopsida; Fabales; Fabaceae. The record is from RNAcentral.